RNAcentral lists this small nuclear RNA (104 nucleotides) under Myotis davidii. The record is from RNAcentral. Lineage: Eukaryota; Metazoa; Chordata; Mammalia; Chiroptera; Vespertilionidae.
AUGCUCACUUUGGCAGCACAUAUACUAAAACUGGAACAACAUGGGGAUUAGCAUGGCUCCUGUGCAAGGAUGACAUGCAAAUUCAUGAAACAUUCCUUUUUUUU